GCCCCAGUAGCUCAGGGCGAUGCUUGCAUCGCAGCAACUGCCUUCUAAGCAGUCGGCCGUAGGUUCGAGUCCUACCUGGGGCGCCA
This 86-nucleotide transfer RNA is filed under the name Chloroflexota bacterium. RNAcentral's name for it is "Chloroflexi bacterium (anaerobic digester metagenome) tRNA-Arg". It matches the Rfam family "tRNA". From Rfam's summary of the family: Transfer RNA (tRNA) molecules are approximately 80 nucleotides in length. The record is from RNAcentral. Lineage: Bacteria; Bacillati; Chloroflexota.